CAACAAUGGGCUCCCGCACGCCUGUUUCAUGUAAAUCCGGGGCCCCAGCCCUGCGAGCCCCGGCCCAGCCCCUACACCCCCGCCCUUCUCCAAAUGUUUGCACCUCCAUCAAAGCGGCGGGGCAAGCCCCGGAGGAAGCGCGCCCGGAUCCCGCAGCCGCGCCAGGCUGGAACGUUCGCGCGGCCUCACCUGUCCCCGCUCCAGGCGCGCCUCCCUCCCCUCCCAGGGACGAGCGCAUUUGGCCGGGCUUUGGGAUGCGCCGCGCUCGUCUCGCCGCAGUAGUAGUGCUGUUCUCGCGCCUCCGAUGCCUCAACUCUCCAGUCUGGCAGUUUCCGGUGCACCUGUCCCCACACGUCCCUCGCCCACGGAGCCCCAGGCGGCGUUACGCACACCCAGGAUCGUGGAUCAGCCUGCCCCGGCGUCGGGUGUCCCCGCGGCUCUCACCAUCUGGAAAAGGAAGGUCCGCGCGCAGAGAGGGAAAUGGACGGAAAUAAGCAAAAGCAAAACAACCCCUUCUGAGAAGUGUCCUCCUCGCUCUCUUAUAAAAACAGGACUUGUUGCCGAGGUC
Molecule: long non-coding RNA, 568 nt
Filed under: Homo sapiens (human)
Lineage: Eukaryota; Metazoa; Chordata; Mammalia; Primates; Hominidae
Description: lncRNA divergent activator of TBXT
Source: RNAcentral